RNAcentral lists this long non-coding RNA (383 nucleotides) under Medicago truncatula (barrel medic). Its description in RNAcentral is "long non-coding RNA (MTRU_LNC003983)". Lineage: Eukaryota; Viridiplantae; Streptophyta; Magnoliopsida; Fabales; Fabaceae. The record is from RNAcentral.
AGAAUAUGAGUGAUAAUCAAUUUUGAUUAAGUCAAAAUUGGACCGGUUCUUGUUUGCAAUUCAACAUCUUAGGUGAAUGUUUUGUAUAAUUUCUCACUUGGGUCUGAUUUCAUGGACACUGAUUUCCAAUUUAAUGGCAUGCACAUGCUUAAACCAUUUCAUAGCUAUUACAUGAUAAUAAAACCCAUCCUUAUGCUUUUAAUUUCUUCAAUUACAUUUAACCAACCAAUAAAUACUCCUGUCUCUCACAAAGUUCAUCGUGUUGCUAGCCUCAUGCACAUUAUAUUCCUUGUUUCAAUUUUUUUACAAUUGCAUUUAUCCAUUCCUUCCUAAUAGAGCUACAACAGACCAUUUCUCUUUAAUAGGUAAUCUCCCAAUUUAAU